Long non-coding RNA from Equus caballus (horse), 1946 nucleotides. Lineage: Eukaryota; Metazoa; Chordata; Mammalia; Perissodactyla; Equidae. The record is from Ensembl.
GGAGAAGUUAGGGCUGUCUCAUGCUAUAAUGCCUCAGAGUUAAUUAGAAAAUAAGGGCUUAUUUCCUCACACUGAAGAACUAUUCUUCUGAGGCACUGGAUUCUGGUAAUGGUGGAACUGCAUGUUGGGUCAUAAUGGAAGAAAGGACAUUAAGGAUCUAGGAGAACAAGACAAGGCAGAAGUAAAAUGGAUGAGCCAAACAGGUCGUCUCUAACAGCUUACAUGAACUCUUCUGUGUGAGAGUUCGAACAAGUGAAGAUAUUCCUGUGCAUUCUCAAGGAGAAGAUGGGCUGUCAGCUGGCAAAAAAAAAGUGUGUCUGACUUUUGCAGAGAUGAUGUGCACUCCAAAGGGAAGGCUAAGAUACUGAAGAUGAAGAGCGAUGGAAAGCAGAGAUGAAGAAAACAGAGGUGGAAAUGAUUAGUGACCCCUACUAAGAUUCUUCAAAUUUCCUAUGUUAAUGAUAAACCAAGGAUUUCCACUGAAUUCCUACAGUUUGCACACUCUUCUGGAAAUACUCGGUACAUUGCCCUGUAACUGCUGUGAAACAGCCUCCAACACUGACUGGGUCUACCAACUUAAGGUCUGAUCCACUGGUUACAGUAACCUUUAUAGAUAUGUGGGAGGACCCCUAGAGUUCUGUCUGAAGAUUGUUAAUGAAAAGCCCAUCUUAUCAACUCAGGGGAAGAGGCUCAUACUGUCUGAAGUGGCCCAUUGUUUGGAGUUAUUCCUGGCUGAUGACUCUCACCAUCAUAAAUAUUAGGAGGGAGUGGAGACGGAGAGGACACAGGGAAAAGGGAAGAAAGCACUGACCCCAGAGAAGUCCUCCACAAAGUUCAUCUCCCCAGGAAACAAGACAAAACAGAGGUUGGUGUUUCUUCACAGAGGCCAAAUAGUCCUUCUCAAAGGCUGGUGUUGCAACAAACAUACUUCUGCAGUGUUUCCUUGUGUUUGAUUCUGUUCUGUUUAUUGGUCCAGAAGUUACAUUAAUAAGUAUAGAUUUUAUUGUUUUAAUCCAAUACAAUUUACAGUACAUUUUAUCUGACACACAGUAGGCAUAUAUGACAAGGAGAUCAUUUAUGCAAAUAAACAAUGUACUUUCUCUUCUGUUUUUAUCACUCCUUUAUGUCUAUAAUUGGCAUCAAUGUCCAAAGCCUUUAUUGACUCCAAGAGUGCCCAUUAGUACACAAAUGAUCACAUCCUCGUUUUACGCCACCAAUAAUUGAGAUUCCCUCGUUCUGAAAUGCUCUUCCUUGUGCCCCCGUGUUGAGGACGCUUCCUCUGCUCAUGUCCUCCCAUUGCUCCCGUCUUCUUGCACAUGACUCCCCAACACAAACACACUCACACACGCACACUCAUGUCACCUGUCUCUAAGAAUUCAUGCUCCCCAGACAGCUGGGAAUCUAGAGGGUGCUGCGAGCAGCCUGUAUGAGGGUGUAACGCACAUGUGCCAAGGGGCAGGAGUUAAGUUGAAAUUCAGAUGCAAAGACAGGGACAUAGAACAGGACAGAGGGCGCAGAGACCCUGAGCCCUGGAGCCCGGGGUGUUUGAGGCCUAGGGAAGGGAAGGGAGGAGUAGUCAAGGAUGAUGGUGAGGAACUAACCCAGCUACACUACAGUACGUUCAACUCAAGACUUCCCAACAUCCAAAUCAGCUUUCCCUUAAAAUCACUAAGCCAAGUUUGCCUUCAGGACUGUAGGAAUCUUUUCAUUUGAAAGUUUUGUUAUUUGUAGUAUUUGAGUCAUAUAAAGGAAUGUAGUGUAAGUUUUGUCACAUAAUGAUGACAUAAAUACUUGUGGCACAAAGAUCACCCGUCAGUGGUAGACCUUUUAUCUCAGUUCCUUCUAACUCUCACAGUUACCUGGAAUUCCUUUUAGAGAACACACAAGCUUUCAGGCUAGACAUUGAAAGGAAGGCUAAAGCUGUAGCUACCGGGGACAGUUGACAC